This is a non-coding RNA of Picea glauca (white spruce), 121 nucleotides long. The record is from Rfam. NCBI's taxonomy places the organism in Eukaryota, Viridiplantae, Streptophyta, Pinopsida, Pinales, Pinaceae.
ACAUGCCUACAUCAUAGCAUUAAUGCCUCAGAUCCCAUUAGAACUCCACUGUUGAGUGUGCUCAGGAUAGAAUAGUAUUGGGAUGGGUGACCACUUGGGAAGUCCUAGUGUUUUACAUGCC